Gossypium hirsutum (cotton) is the source of this 144-nucleotide non-coding RNA. The record is from Rfam. Lineage: Eukaryota; Viridiplantae; Streptophyta; Magnoliopsida; Malvales; Malvaceae.
CAUUAAAAAUUUCAUCUAUUUAUAUUGUUAAAAGUUAACGUGUUAUUGGAAUAAUCAGACAGUGACAUGUGACAUGCCACGUGUACCUCAUGCUAAUGUACAAGGAUCAAUUUUUAACAGCAGAAAUGAGUGAACUUUUUAACA